GCUGCGGUGUCCGAGUGGUUAAGGAGUUUGACUUGAAAUCAAAUGGGUUACGCCCGCACAGGUUCGAAUCCUGUCCGCAGCG
RNAcentral lists this transfer RNA (82 nucleotides) under Ramazzottius varieornatus. Its description in RNAcentral is "tRNA-Ser". It matches the Rfam family "tRNA". Rfam says of the family: Transfer RNA (tRNA) molecules are approximately 80 nucleotides in length. The record is from RNAcentral. Lineage: Eukaryota; Metazoa; Tardigrada; Eutardigrada; Parachela; Ramazzottiidae.